This 716-nucleotide ribosomal RNA is filed under the name uncultured archaeon. RNAcentral describes it as "bacterial SSU rRNA". It matches the Rfam family "Archaeal small subunit ribosomal RNA", at positions 1 to 705 of the family's 1478-position model. The record is from RNAcentral.
UUCCGGUUGAUCCCGCCGGAGGCCACUGCUAUUGGGGUCCGCCUAAGCCAUGCGAGUCGACCGGGCUUUCCUCCUUCGGGAGGAGGGCCAGGGGCGGACGGCUCAGUAACACGUGGGUAAUCUACCCUCGGGUCGGGCAUAACCCCGGGAAACUGGGGCUAAUACCCGAUAGGUGGAGAGGUCUGGAAGGAUCCUCCGCCGAAAGCUCCGGCGCCCGAGGAUGAGCCUGCGACCGAUUAGGUAGUUGGCGGUGUAACGGACCACCAAGCCUGUGAUCGGUACGGGCAGUGGGAGCUGUAGCCCGGAGAUGGGGGCUGAGACACGGCCCCAGGCCCUACGGGGCGCAGCAGGCGCGAAAACUCCGCAAUGCUCGCAAGAGCGACGGGGGGACCCCAAGUGCCCCUGCACUGCAGGGGCUAAAUUCAUAGUGUAAACAGCUCCGCGAAUAAGGGCUGGGCAAGACCGGUGCCAGCCGCCGCGGUAACACCGGCAGCCCGAGUGGUGGCCACUUUUAUUGGGCCUAAAGCGUCCGUAGCCGGUCCGGUAAGUCCCUGUGUAAAUCCUCAGGCUCAACCUGAGGAAGUGCGGGGAUACUGCCAGACUCGGGGCCGGGAGACGCGGAGGGUACUCCAGGGGUAGCGGUGAAAUGCUGUAAUCCCUGGGGGACCACCAGUGGCGAAGGCGCUCCGUGAGAACUGGGCCCGACGGUGAGGGAC